CCUACGGGUGGCUGCAGUGAGGAAUAUUGGUCAAUGGACGAGAGUCUGAACCAGCCAAGUAGCGUGAAGGAUGACUGCCCUAUGGGUUGUAAACUUCUUUUAUAUGGGAAUAAAACGUUCCACGUGUGGGAUUUUGUAUGUACCAUAUGAAUAAGGAUCGGCUAACUCCGUGCCAGCAGCCGCGGUAAUACGGAGGAUCCGAGCGUUAUCCGGCUUUAUUGGGUUUAAAGGGGGCGUAGGUGGAUUGUUAAGUCAGUUGUGAAAGUUUGCGGCUCAACCGUAAAAUUGCAGUUGAAACUGGCAGUCUUGAGUACAGUAGAGGUGGGCGGAAUUCGUGGUGUAGCGGUGAAAUGCUUAGAUAUCACGAAGAACUCCGAUUGCGAAGGCAGUUCACUGGACUGCAACUGACACUGAGGCUCGAAAGUGUGGGUAUCAAACAGGAUUAGAUACCCGUGUAGUC
Molecule: ribosomal RNA, 460 nt
Filed under: uncultured bacterium
Lineage: Bacteria
Description: partial 16S ribosomal RNA
Rfam family: Bacterial small subunit ribosomal RNA
Source: RNAcentral